GGCUGAUAUUGACCGAGGGCUGAUAAUACAUGCGAUAUGAAACAAGACAUGUUAUGAUCUUUUUAUCAUAUGCUUCAACAGUGGAGAAAAAAAAACAGAUUCAUAUAUUGAUCCUUUAACGUGGUUCCCAAAUAGGAGUUCAAAGAGUGAAAUUUCACUGACGUCGGACCCCAAAUUUAGUACAUUCAAUAUGGAAUCUUUCUAUCAUAUGAAUAAACAGAGAAGAAAAAUAUUUUAAUAUGGACGAAUCGACAAAAAUAUACAUAAUAAACAUGUUUGGAAAAUCA
This 287-nucleotide long non-coding RNA is filed under the name Mytilus galloprovincialis (Mediterranean mussel). The record is from RNAcentral. Lineage: Eukaryota; Metazoa; Mollusca; Bivalvia; Mytilida; Mytilidae.